This 253-nucleotide ribosomal RNA is filed under the name uncultured bacterium. Its description in RNAcentral is "partial 16S ribosomal RNA". It matches the Rfam family "Bacterial small subunit ribosomal RNA", at positions 524 to 776 of the family's 1533-position model. The record is from RNAcentral.
UACGUAGGGUGCAAGCGUUGUCCGGAAUUAUUGGGCGUAAAGAGCUCGUAGGCGGUUUGUCGCGUCGAAUGUGAAAACCCGGGGCUCAACCCCGGGCCUGCAUUCGAUACGGGCAGACUAGAGUUCGGUAGGGGAGUCUGGAAUUCCUGGUGUAGCGGUGAAAUGCGCAGAUAUCAGGAGGAACACCGAUGGCGAAGGCGGGUCUCUGGGCAUUAACUGACGCUGAGGAGCGAAAGCAUGGGGAGCGAACAGG